RNAcentral lists this long non-coding RNA (390 nucleotides) under Mytilus galloprovincialis (Mediterranean mussel). Lineage: Eukaryota; Metazoa; Mollusca; Bivalvia; Mytilida; Mytilidae. The record is from RNAcentral.
CCGAUGACAAGAACAAUAGUGACGCUUGUAAAUUCAUCGAAACGUUGGAGGAUCAUGGACUUCAACAACAUAUAAAUAGUCCAACUCACAUCCAUGGACACACUUUAGAUGUCAUCAUUACAAGAGAAAUCAGUUCGAUUCUAAAGAAUGCGCCGGUCGUACAUCAUCCGUAUUUAUGUGACAAGAAAGGCAAUCCCGCUGGUGACCAUAUGGCCCUGUUCGCUCAGCUAAGAAUCUCAAAACCGUCGAAAUAUCGCCAAACAGUGACUUACCGCAAAUAUCGAGACAUCAAUCUGGACGACAUCAAAAAUGACUUUGUUGAAUCGAUUCCGUCUGUUGUAAAUGUAACAGAACCUGUCGGUAAGUUGGUUAGUCUUUAACAAUCGAAUA